UCCCUGGGGGUUUAGGGGCUAAGACAUCACACUCCCAAUGCCAGGGGCCCAGGUUUGAUUCUUGGUCAGGGAA
This 73-nucleotide transfer RNA is filed under the name Ovis aries (sheep). It matches the Rfam family "tRNA". Rfam says of the family: Transfer RNA (tRNA) molecules are approximately 80 nucleotides in length. Their secondary structure includes four short double-helical elements and three loops (D, anti-codon, and T loops). Lineage: Eukaryota; Metazoa; Chordata; Mammalia; Artiodactyla; Bovidae. The record is from Rfam by way of RNAcentral.